UGCAGAAUCCCGUGAACCAUCGAGUCUUUGAACGCAAGUUGCGCCCGAGGGACCCUCCCAAGGGCACGCCUGCCUCAUGGGCGUUAGAAGCCCAUUCACGCUUGGUUGCCUCACAGCAAAGAUGCGGACAUUGGCCCUCCGAACCUCGAGGUGCGGUGGGCCUAAGUGUGCGGCCGUUGUACGUGGCCGGGAGCGGCGAGUGGUGGGCUACUGCGCACGUCACCCCGAGCCCCGUACCGACACAGGGCCUUUUUUGACCCCUAACGAGGAGCUUGCCGUUGCGGUUUGCGCUGCGCGGUGCCUUCGGACCGAUACCCCAGGUCAGGCGGGGCUACCCGCUGAGUUUAAGCAUAUAAAUAAGCGGAGGAGAAGAAACUUACAAGGAUUCCCCUAGUAACGGCGAGCGAACCGGGAGCAGCCCAGCCUUAGAAUCGCGGUGGCACUGCCGCCCGA
RNAcentral lists this ribosomal RNA (453 nucleotides) under Carex davalliana. RNAcentral's name for it is "eukaryotic LSU rRNA". The stretch from base 312 to 453 matches the Rfam family "Eukaryotic large subunit ribosomal RNA", at positions 1 to 141 of the family's 3401-position model. Lineage: Eukaryota; Viridiplantae; Streptophyta; Magnoliopsida; Poales; Cyperaceae. The record is from RNAcentral.